UACGGGGGGGGCAAGCGUUGUUCGGAAUUACUGGGCGUAAAGCGCGCGUAGGCGGCUCUUCAAGUCGAGUGUGAAAGCUCCAGGCUUAACCUGGGAAUUGCGCUCGAUACUGUUGAGCUAGAGUGUGGAAGGGGCUACUGGAAUUCCGCGUGUAGCAGUGAAAUGCGUAGAGAUGUGGAGGAACACCGAUGGCGAAGGCAGCCCCCUGGGUCAAGAUUGACGCUCUUGCACGAAAGCGUGGGGAGCAAACAGG
Molecule: ribosomal RNA, 253 nt
Filed under: uncultured bacterium
Lineage: Bacteria
Description: partial 16S ribosomal RNA
Rfam family: Bacterial small subunit ribosomal RNA
Source: RNAcentral